This 125-nucleotide small RNA is filed under the name Marmota monax (woodchuck). The record is from RNAcentral. Lineage: Eukaryota; Metazoa; Chordata; Mammalia; Rodentia; Sciuridae.
GCUGGGCGAGGUGGUGUUUGCCUGUAAUCCCAGGAGCUUGGAAGGCAUAGGCAGGAGGAUCCUAAGUUUAAAAGAAGCCUCAGCAGAAGUGAGGUGCUAAGCAACUCAGUGAGACCCUGUCUCUA